GACGAACGCUGGCGGCGUGCUUAACACAUGCGAGUCGAACGGAAAGGCCCUGCUUUUGUGGGGUGCUCGAGUGGCGAACGGGUGAGUAACACGUGAGUAACCUGCCCUUGACUUUGGGAUAACUUCAGGAAACUGGGGCUAAUACCGGAUAGGAGCUCCUGCUGCAUGGUGGGGGUUGGAAAGUUUCGGCGGUUGGGGAUGGGCUCGCGGCUUAUCAGCUUGUUGGUGGGGCAGUGGCUUACCAAGGCUUUGACGGGUAGCCGGCCUGAGAGGGUGACCGGCCACAUUGGGACUGAGAUACGGCCCAGACUCCUACGGGAGGCAGCAGUGGGGAAUAUUGCACAAUGGGCGGAAGCCUGAUGCAGCAACGCCGCGUGCGGGAUGACGGCCUUCGGGUUGUAAACCGCUUUCGCCUGUGACGAAGCGUGAGUGACGGUAAUGGGUAAAGAAGCACCGGCUAACUACGUG
RNAcentral lists this ribosomal RNA (468 nucleotides) under uncultured bacterium. RNAcentral's name for it is "partial 16S ribosomal RNA". It matches the Rfam family "Bacterial small subunit ribosomal RNA", at positions 28 to 507 of the family's 1533-position model. The record is from RNAcentral.